RNAcentral lists this ribosomal RNA (253 nucleotides) under uncultured bacterium. RNAcentral describes it as "partial 16S ribosomal RNA". It matches the Rfam family "Bacterial small subunit ribosomal RNA", at positions 524 to 776 of the family's 1533-position model. The record is from RNAcentral.
UACGUAGGGUGCAAGCGUUGUCCGGAAUUAUGGGGCGUAAAGAGCUCGUAGGCGGUUUGUCGCGUCUGCUGUGAAAACCCGAGGCUCAACCUCGGGCCUGCAGUGGGUACGGGCAGACUAGAGUGCGGUAGGGGAGAUUGGAAUUCCUGGUGUAGCGGUGGAAUGCGCAGAUAUCAGGAGGAACACCAAUGGCGAAGGCAGAUCUCUGGGCCGUAACUGACGCUGAGACGCGAAAGCGUGGGGAGCGAACAGG